This 204-nucleotide ribosomal RNA is filed under the name uncultured bacterium. RNAcentral's name for it is "partial 16S ribosomal RNA". It matches the Rfam family "Bacterial small subunit ribosomal RNA", at positions 568 to 774 of the family's 1533-position model. The record is from RNAcentral.
UGCGUAGGUGGCGCCGUAAGUCGGGUGUGAAAUUUCGGAGCUUAACUCCGAAACUGCAUUCGAUACUGCGGUGCUUGAGGACUGGAGAGGAGACUGGAAUUCAUGGUGUAGCAGUGAAAUGCGUAGAGAUCAUGAGGAAGACCAGUGGCGAAGGCGGGUCUCUGGACAGUUCCAGACACUGAGGCAGAAGCCAGGGAGCAAACG